RNAcentral lists this ribosomal RNA (694 nucleotides) under uncultured Bacteroidales bacterium. RNAcentral describes it as "bacterial SSU rRNA". It matches the Rfam family "Bacterial small subunit ribosomal RNA", at positions 52 to 740 of the family's 1533-position model. The record is from RNAcentral. Lineage: Bacteria; Pseudomonadati; Bacteroidota; Bacteroidia; Bacteroidales.
CACAUGCAAGUCGAGGAGGCAGCAUGAGGUAGCAAUACCUUGAUGGCGACCGGCGCACGGGUGAGUAACGCGUAUGCAACCUGCCUGAUACCGGGGUAUAGCCCAUGGAAACGUGGAUUAACACCCCAUAGUACUUUUAUCCUGCCUGGGAUGGGAGUUAAAUGUUCAAGGUAUCGGAUGGGCAUGCGUCCUAUUAGUUAGUUGGCGGGGUAACAGCCCACCAAGACGAUGAUAGGUAGGGGUUCUGAGAGGAAGGUCCCCCACAUUGGAACUGAGACACGGUCCAAACUCCUACGGGAGGCAGCAGUGAGGAAUAUUGGUCAAUGGACGUAAGUCUGAACCAGCCAAGUCGCGUGAGGGAAGACUGCCCUAUGGGUUGUAAACCUCUUUUAUAAGGGAAGAAUAAGUUCUACGUGUAGAAUGAUGCCUGUACCUUAUGAAUAAGCAUCGGCUAACUCCGUGCCAGCAGCCGCGGUAAUACGGAGGAUGCGAGCGUUAUCCGGAUUUAUUGGGUUUAAAGGGUGCGUAGGCGGUUUAUUAAGUUAGUGGUUAAAUAUUUGAGCUAAACUCAAUUGUGCCAUUAAUACUGGUAAACUGGAGUACAGACGAGGUAGGCGGAAUAAGUUAAGUAGCGGUGAAAUGCAUAGAUAUAACUUAGAACUCCGAUAGCGAAGGCAGCUUACCAGACUGUAAC